CGGGGUGAGUAACGCGUGGGCAACCUGCCCCAUAGAGGGGGACAACAGCUGGAAACGGCUGCUAAUACCGCAUAACAAGGAGAGAGCGCAUGUUCUUUUCUUCAAAGAUUUAUCGCUAUGGGAUGGACCCGCGUCUGAUUAGCUGGUUGGUGAGGUAACGGCUCACCAAGGCGACGAUCAGUAGCCGGCUUGAGAGAGUGGACGGCCACAUUGGGACUGAGACACGGCCCAGACUCCUACGGGAGGCAGCAG
RNAcentral lists this ribosomal RNA (252 nucleotides) under uncultured bacterium. Its description in RNAcentral is "partial 16S ribosomal RNA". It matches the Rfam family "Bacterial small subunit ribosomal RNA", at positions 100 to 354 of the family's 1533-position model. The record is from RNAcentral.